CGGUUUCUGCCCUUUUCGUCACAUGCGGGUAAUAUUCCGGUGGCCUUAAGCAAUUCUGAGGGAGCUGGCUCUGGCAUAGCCGUGGCUUUGUUACCUGGCGCCCACCUGUACAUACAGGUCCUCAGGAAUUCAGACCCCGACGACUGCGUGCGGUUCCGCC
Molecule: unclassified non-coding RNA, 160 nt
Filed under: Aliiroseovarius crassostreae
Lineage: Bacteria; Pseudomonadati; Pseudomonadota; Alphaproteobacteria; Rhodobacterales; Paracoccaceae
Description: 6S / SsrS RNA
Source: RNAcentral